GAUGAACGCUGGCGGCGUGCCUAAUACAUGCAAGUCGAGCGAACGGACGAGAAGCUUGCUUCUCUGACGUUAGCGGCGGACGGGUGAGUAACACGUGGAUAACCUACCUAUAAGACUGGGAUAACUUCGGGAAACCGGAGCUAAUACCGGAUGAUAUUUUGAACCGCAUGGUUCAAUAGUGAAAGACGGUCUUGCUGUCACUUAUAGAUGGAUCCGCGCUGCAUUAGCUAGUUGGUAAGGUAACGGCUUACCAAGGCAACGAUGCGUAGCCGACCUGAGAGGGUGAUCGGCCACACUGGAACUGAGACACGGUCCAGACUCCUACGGGAGGCAGCAGUAGGGAAUCUUCCGCAAUGGGCGAAAGCCUGACGGAGCAACGCCGCGUGAGUGAUGAAGGUCUUCGGAUCGUAAAACUCUGUUAUUAGGGAAGAACAAAUGUGUAAGUAACUAUGCACGUCUUGACGGUACCUAAUCAGAAAGCCACGGCUAACUACGUG
Molecule: ribosomal RNA, 497 nt
Filed under: uncultured bacterium
Lineage: Bacteria
Description: partial 16S ribosomal RNA
Rfam family: Bacterial small subunit ribosomal RNA
Source: RNAcentral